Molecule: long non-coding RNA, 204 nt
Filed under: Homo sapiens (human)
Lineage: Eukaryota; Metazoa; Chordata; Mammalia; Primates; Hominidae
Description: non-protein coding lnc-CIAO1-5:1
Source: RNAcentral
UGCUAUUCGCUUCACAAGUGUUUUCCCAGCACAUCUCUUGCACAUUUAGUCCUAUCUGGGCAUCUUCUCAGAGGACUCAAACCUUAGGACAGGAACCUAAGUAAUUCCUCUUUUGCAACUCCAAGUCUAUGUGGACUCUUAUUUUCUUUCUACUUUUCUACUUCCUUUCUGCUUUACUCUUUCACCCAACCCCUACCUAAUCUU